This 247-nucleotide ribosomal RNA is filed under the name uncultured bacterium. RNAcentral's name for it is "partial 16S ribosomal RNA". It matches the Rfam family "Bacterial small subunit ribosomal RNA", at positions 527 to 772 of the family's 1533-position model. The record is from RNAcentral.
GUAGGGUGCAAGCGUUGUUCGGAAUGACUGGGCGUAAAGGGUGUGUAGGUGGUUUGAUAAGUUAGAUGUGUAAUACCCAGGGCUUAACUCGGGUGCUGCAUCUAAAACUGUUAGACUUGAGUACUGGAGAGGAUAGUGGAAUUCCUAGUGUAGCGGUGGAAUGCGUAGAUAUUAGGAGGAACAUCAGUGGCGAAGGCGACUAUCUGGACAGCAACUGACACUGAGGCACGAAAGCGUGGGGAGCAAA